GAGCGGAGCGGAACCCCGCAACGGGGAACGCGGGGUGCGCGCGGCUCAGCGCCGGCCAAUGAGAGCGAGAGAGCCGCGAGCGGCGCCGGCCAAUGAGAGCGAAGGGCGUGCGUAGUGAUCCAACGUGGGGAGAGGGCGGCGGGAGCCGCGGCCGCCUGCACUCACCGUUGCCGGGCGCGGAGGUGGGGGUGGGCAGCGGGCGGACGGCGCGCAGCAGCACCAGCAGCUCCAACAACCGCACCAUGCCGGCCCCGGGCCCGCCGGCCCCAACGCCUAUAAAGCGGGCCGCGGGCGGGCAGGGCGCGUGCGCGCCGCUCCGCCCCUCGGCCAAUGGACGACCUCGAGCUGGCGCGCGAACCGUCAGGAGGCCCCGCCCCCUCCUCGAGGCCCCGCCCCCUCCGCGGGACAUCGCGGCGCGGCCCGAGCCGCCUCGGCGUGCGUGACCUUGGCUGCUGCCAGGGUCGGGAGAUGAGGAUCUGCUGAACCUCGUGAGGUUCUCCCGGGCUCACUGCUGGGCGGCACGCUGUCCGUCGGGCACGCCUCGCUGUCAGUGUCAUCAAUGGAGACAUUAAACAGCAUCGGCCCCACUACUCACUGCUGACAAACACCACUCGUCGCUGAGAUUCACAGGUACUCACCCUGCAAGAGCACAGGGCUGCUGUGCAGAACAACACACCUCCCAGCAGGGCGCUCCGUGCUGAGCUGUGGGGAUCUGGUGCUGGCAGGGUGAGCCUGGAGGGGCCUCUGCCACCGACUGACUGUUCUGCUCUUAACUGUUGUCUUGGGAAGCGUUGGUAGGCAGCUGGAUUCCUCCCAGCCGUGCCAAACGUCUCGAGGUGCUCGGUGUGCUACGAGGCCGGGCUCCAGAGCAAAAUCUGUAUCAACCAUUUCUAGUAAGUCACAGCUUUAUGGGUGUAUAUGGACUAACGGACACUGAGCCCAUCAGACAGGACUCUGAGGCUGCUGAGAGCUAAGCAGUGCUGCAGUGAAUGGAUAUCUCUUAGCAGGACAUAAGAGUGCCAGGUGUGUUGUUCAGCUCUGUCCAUUAGGGAUAUCCCAGCCGUGUUUCUGGGUCUCCUCUUGCAGGAGUUUAUACCACAAACAGCUCAUAAACGUGCCAAGCCCAAGCUAAAGUUUAUACAUUAUCCUAUUAUCCUCUUGACUUCACAUCCAAAAGAGCAUUAAAGAAUAAUUUCAGUAAUUCCAACAGAACAGACAAAAGGGGAGAAUAAUCACAAUUUUAAAUAUAUUUACUAGUUGUGCGUGCAAAUACGUUCUGUAUAGUAUCUUCGUAACUAAAUCCACUGCAGGCUUACCACGAGAGUGCUGCUUUUUAAUGGACCGAGAUCUGUACAUCCAGCCUUGCCAUGCUCAUUUCUCACAAAUAGGGCUGGUCUUUUGAGAUUUCCCACUUCUUAAGAACAGGCCCUGGUGUCACUGGCUUUUUGUCAGUUGUUGUCACUGAAGAGCUUGAGCUGCUGCCCUGAGCUCCUGCAGGGAGGGUUUUCAGCCCCGAGGCGACCACGAUGGGUGGGCCUGCCUCCCGGCGCCCGUCCCGGGUGCAGUAAUAGUUGUCAGCGAGUUUGUGGCUGGGGCCCACCGGGAGCCGGGGCGGCGGCUGCGUCCUCUUGGAGAUCUCCGUGUAGCGUAGCGCCAGCUUGGCCUGGAGGUCCCGCCCCGCCAGGAAGUUGCGGAGCCGCUGGAUGAGGCGGGUGGCCGUCGCCAUCUUGGCUGUUG
RNAcentral lists this long non-coding RNA (1737 nucleotides) under Gallus gallus (chicken). Lineage: Eukaryota; Metazoa; Chordata; Aves; Galliformes; Phasianidae. The record is from RNAcentral.